This 2934-nucleotide ribosomal RNA is filed under the name Bacillus velezensis. RNAcentral's name for it is "bacterial LSU rRNA". It matches the Rfam family "Bacterial large subunit ribosomal RNA". The record is from RNAcentral. Lineage: Bacteria; Bacillati; Bacillota; Bacilli; Caryophanales; Bacillaceae.
CGGUUAAGUUAGAAAGGGCGCACGGUGGAUGCCUUGGCACUAGGAGCCGAUGAAGGACGGGACGAACACCGAUAUGCUUCGGGGAGCUGUAAGCAAGCUUUGAUCCGGAGAUUUCCGAAUGGGGAAACCCACCACUCGUAAUGGAGUGGUAUCCAUAUCUGAAUACAUAGGAUAUGAGAAGGCAGACCCGGGGAACUGAAACAUCUAAGUACCCGGAGGAAGAGAAAGCAAAUGCGAUUCCCUGAGUAGCGGCGAGCGAAACGGGAUCAGCCCAAACCAAGAGGCUUGCCUCUUGGGGUUGUAGGACACUCUGUACGGAGUUACAAAGGAACGAGGUAGAUGAAGAGGUCUGGAAAGGCCCGCCAUAGGAGGUAACAGCCCUGUAGUCAAAACUUCGUUCUCUCCUGAGUGGAUCCUGAGUACGGCGGAACACGUGAAAUUCCGUCGGAAUCCGGGAGGACCAUCUCCCAAGGCUAAAUACUCCCUAGUGACCGAUAGUGAACCAGUACCGUGAGGGAAAGGUGAAAAGCACCCCGGAAGGGGAGUGAAAGAGAUCCUGAAACCGUGUGCCUACAAGUAGUCAGAGCCCGUUAACGGGUGAUGGCGUGCCUUUUGUAGAAUGAACCGGCGAGUUACGAUCCCGUGCAAGGUUAAGCAGAAGAUGCGGAGCCGCAGCGAAAGCGAGUCUGAAUAGGGCGAAUUGAGUACGUGGUCGUAGACCCGAAACCAGGUGAUCUACCCAUGUCCAGGGUGAAGUUCAGGUAACACUGAAUGGAGGCCCGAACCCACGCACGUUGAAAAGUGCGGGGAUGAGGUGUGGGUAGGGGUGAAAUGCCAAUCGAACCUGGAGAUAGCUGGUUCUCUCCGAAAUAGCUUUAGGGCUAGCCUCAAGGUAAGAGUCUCGGAGGUAGAGCACUGAUUGGACUAGGGGCCCCUACCGGGUUACCGAAUUCAGUCAAACUCCGAAUGCCGAUGACUUAUCCUUGGGAGUCAGACUGCGAGUGAUAAGAUCCGUAGUCGAAAGGGAAACAGCCCAGACCGCCAGCUAAGGUCCCAAAGUAUACGUUAAGUGGAAAAGGAUGUGGAGUUGCUUAGACAACCAGGAUGUUGGCUUAGAAGCAGCCACCAUUUAAAGAGUGCGUAAUAGCUCACUGGUCGAGUGACUCUGCGCCGAAAAUGUACCGGGGCUAAACGUAUCACCGAAGCUGCGGACUGUUCUUCGAACAGUGGUAGGAGAGCGUUCUAAGGGCUGUGAAGCAAGACCGGAAGGACUUGUGGAGCGCUUAGAAGUGAGAAUGCCGGUAUGAGUAGCGAAAGAGGGGUGAGAAUCCCCUCCACCGAAUGCCUAAGGUUUCCUGAGGAAGGCUCGUCCGCUCAGGGUUAGUCGGGACCUAAGCCGAGGCCGAAAGGCGUAGGCGAUGGAUAACAGGUUGAUAUUCCUGUACCACCUCCUCACCAUUUGAGCAAUGGGGGGACGCAGGAGGAUAGGGUAAGCGCGGUAUUGGAUAUCCGCGUCCAAGCAGUUAGGCUGGGAAAUAGGAAAAUCCGUUUCCCGUGAAGGCUGAGCUGUGAUGGCGAGCGAAUUAUAGUAGCGAAGUUCCUGAUUCCACACUGCCAAGAAAAGCCUCUAGCGAGGUGAGAGGUGCCCGUACCGCAAACCGACACAGGUAGGCGAGGAGAGAAUCCUAAGGUGAUCGAGAGAACUCUCGUUAAGGAACUCGGCAAAAUGACCCCGUAACUUCGGGAGAAGGGGUGCUCUGUUAGGGUGCAAGCCCGAGAGAGCCGCAGUGAAUAGGCCCAGGCGACUGUUUAGCAAAAACACAGGUCUCUGCGAAGCCGUAAGGCGAAGUAUAGGGGCUGACGCCUGCCCGGUGCUGGAAGGUUAAGAGGAGCGCUUAGCGUAAGCGAAGGUGCGAAUUGAAGCCCCAGUAAACGGCGGCCGUAACUAUAACGGUCCUAAGGUAGCGAAAUUCCUUGUCGGGUAAGUUCCGACCCGCACGAAAGGCGCAACGAUCUGGGCACUGUCUCAACGAGAGACUCGGUGAAAUUAUAGUACCUGUGAAGAUGCAGGUUACCCGCGACAGGACGGAAAGACCCCGUGGAGCUUUACUGCAGCCUGAUAUUGAAUGUUGGUACAGCUUGUACAGGAUAGGUAGGAGCCUUGGAAACCGGAGCGCCAGCUUCGGUGGAGGCAUCGGUGGGAUACUACCCUGGCUGUAUUGACCUUCUAACCCGCCGCCCUUAUCGGGCGGGGAGACAGUGUCAGGUGGGCAGUUUGACUGGGGCGGUCGCCUCCUAAAAGGUAACGGAGGCGCCCAAAGGUUCCCUCAGAAUGGUUGGAAAUCAUUCGCAGAGUGUAAAGGCACAAGGGAGCUUGACUGCGAGACCUACAAGUCGAGCAGGGACGAAAGUCGGGCUUAGUGAUCCGGUGGUUCCGCAUGGAAGGGCCAUCGCUCAACGGAUAAAAGCUACCCCGGGGAUAACAGGCUUAUCUCCCCCAAGAGUCCACAUCGACGGGGAGGUUUGGCACCUCGAUGUCGGCUCAUCGCAUCCUGGGGCUGUAGUCGGUCCCAAGGGUUGGGCUGUUCGCCCAUUAAAGCGGUACGCGAGCUGGGUUCAGAACGUCGUGAGACAGUUCGGUCCCUAUCCGUCGCGGGCGCAGGAAAUUUGAGAGGAGCUGUCCUUAGUACGAGAGGACCGGGAUGGACGCACCGCUGGUGUACCAGUUGUUCUGCCAAGGGCAUCGCUGGGUAGCUAUGUGCGGACGGGAUAAGUGCUGAAAGCAUCUAAGCAUGAAGCCCCCCUCAAGAUGAGAUUUCCCAUUCCGCAAGGAAGUAAGAUCCCUGAAAGAUGAUCAGGUUGAUAGGUCUGAGGUGGAAGUGUGGCGACACAUGGAGCUGACAGAUACUAAUCGAUCGAGGACUUAACCAAUUU